AAUCAGACGCUGCGACCGCAGUUUCCUGAGGUGUCCUUUAUCGGUAACAAUGUGUUCACAUUUCCGUAUCGGAGGCACUAUACACAUAGCAAUUACAACUUCACAGUUCACGACCGUAUCCUUAAAGGGAAGACAGAGGCGUAUCUCGUGUGUGCGAUGGCGGGCGAGCCGUCGGAGGAGAGAGAGUCCAGCGAGCGGCGCGUGCUCUGCGUCCUGGCGUGCUGUCAGUAAAGUGACGAGCUGGAACACGGCCCGUCCACGCCCUGCAGCUGUUGCUCCGGGUUGGAAAUUAACUGGAAAUGGAUUGGCGCUCAUUUUGAAGUAACGAUAAAUUUGGAGCUGGUAUUGACUUGGAAGUGACGACACAACCACAAUUAGGAAAUUGCUUUAAUGGGUGCAUUAUACGAAGAAACUGCAUAAACAAGAAAGACAAUGCACAUUUGUAAAGGGAUACAUUCAUUAAAAUUGAGACGGGAGCAGUCCAUCUGUGGAGUUGUUUGGCGAGCGCGGAGACGGCGUCGGCGCAUGUUUCGGCAUGUCCCGUCCCGCCGAC
Molecule: long non-coding RNA, 553 nt
Organism: Manduca sexta (tobacco hornworm)
Lineage: Eukaryota; Metazoa; Arthropoda; Insecta; Lepidoptera; Sphingidae
Exons: 4
Source: RefSeq, a predicted model, not a curated record